This 3973-nucleotide long non-coding RNA is filed under the name Lupinus angustifolius (narrow-leaved blue lupine). RNAcentral's name for it is "long non-coding RNA (LANG_LNC003597)". The record is from RNAcentral. Lineage: Eukaryota; Viridiplantae; Streptophyta; Magnoliopsida; Fabales; Fabaceae.
AUAUAUCUAUGCAUUUAAUUUCUCUAACUUUCCUACCUUUUUGUUGUUAUACACUGUACGUUAAAAUUGAAUCAAGAACAGGAAAGUUUUCAGUUAAUUUUUUGAAUGAUAUUGGGACAAAUAUUGGGAUAAUGGUAUGGUAGCUUAUGAAUGCACACAUAUGAGUACACUUAACACAAGGAGUAUUUUGUUAUGUAAUAUCUCUCCCAGUCCAAGAUUUGUUUAUUCUUAGUGGCUUUAUCAUGCCUGACAAUUUGUUUCACAACUGCAGAUGGAAGUCAGUUAAUUGUCAAGUCAAGCGAUGGCUUCCAAGUUGGAAAUGCAUUGGAUUCGGAAGGUCAACUGUCAGCCUCUAUUGUGGAUCCGUCACGAAGUUUGAUUGCAGAUUUGAGGAUUGAAGAGUUGACUUUUGUGCAUAGUAAUGGUUCCUUUGAUUUGUCAAAUAACUCACGUCCCAGCAAAGCUGAAGCCUUAUCAGAUGUAUCCCCAGAAAAUAAGAUCUAUACUGGUGAAAAUGCGAUAGAAUGCAGUUUGAUAUCUGUUGCAAAGGAGACUAAUUUGAUAGCAAAGGAUGUGAUUAAAUCAGAUGUAGUCGUGGUUGAAAAUGUGGACUCAUCUGAUAUCAUUGUGGAUGAAACAUGUGAAGGAGUGUCUAACAUAAAAGGUAGUGGUACGAUUUCUUUGGAUCACAAAGUGGCUGACGAAGCUGUUAAUCUGGUGGAAAAGAAAAGUGCUGAGUUCCUUUCUUUGCGGGCCCAAGAUGUUAUUCCUCUUGAGUUAAACUCUGCCGAAAUCACAAAUGCCUCGACAAAUGGUUUUCAGGUAGAGGCCGCACAUGUGAAACAGUUUUCCACUUCUAGUGAUGUCAACAUUUUACGAGAAAAAGAAGUAAAUGGUAAUGUGGAUACACCUCCUACACCUGAUGAUAGCCCUGAGGUAGCACAUCCUCAAAGUGAUUAUAAAGGUCUCAAAGAUCCGGAUGGAGUGGUAUCCCAAAAUCCAUUAAGCCUUCAUUCAUAUGAAUCACUGAAACAUGAAGAUGCCCCGAAUAGUGUUACCAAGGAAAAUACUUUUGUUUUUAACCCAAUCCAGUUGACUGAAAAAAGUGCCAUCCUCUCUCCAGAAGUGCAUGUUGUGAGUAGUACUAGUAGCGUGAAGGAGCCUGUAAAGUUUGACAAUAUAGAAACAAAGUCUGAAGAAAACACUGAAGUUUCUCCAGUCAAGCUAAAAAUUGAAAGUUUUGAUAGAUUGGAGGAAAUUGGUGGUAUGAAAGCUAUUGGAACUGAAAAAAAUGAGAGUCAUGUCAUUCCCUUUUUUGAAGAACAGAGAACUGUUGAUAGUUGUAAAGAUUCUCAACAGAUUAGUUUACCCGAGGCUAGUUUAGUGGCCUCGUCAAUUGAGAAUCCAAGGGAUGCAUCAUUUGCUUCUGCAACCAGUGAAACAAUUGGUGUAAUUAGCAUAUAUCAUGAGAAAAACAGAACUGAAAUAAAUGAUAUAGUUGUAGAUUGCAACAAUGUAAGAGCUAAUGUGGAAAAUGAUAUUGGAACUAAAACAAAAGAUCUCCAACCUAGUGACCUCCUGCAAUUGGAUGGCAAACAAUCAAGGAACUUAGUUAAGAGUGAUGAUGUUGGUGAAAUGGGUAAAAUUGAAAAAUGUGAUAUUACUGAAACCCCAGUUAUUUCCAAGGCCGUAGUUGAUGGAGCUACAAAAAAGGCAAAAGCUCUAGAUUGCACAAAUGGAGGUCCAAUAUUAGUUACCCGGGAAGACAUAAAAGAAGAUGACUCAUAUCAUGCACAAGAUGCAGAACGGCCAGUAAAGGGUGCAGAAAACGUUGCUAGGAAGUCUACAUCGCCUUUAAAUACGGAGCCUUCUGCUCAACAUGUUUCUGCUGUUGAAGAUAAUAGAGAGGGAGGCCCUGGUGGGGAAGCGUCUGGAAUCACUGCUGUGCCUGUACAAGACAGAAAAGAUGAAAUUAGUAGCCAUGUCAAAGUGCAUGAAGAAUAUAGCAGAUCUAUUGAUCCUUCUGGUGACUCAAAUCAGACACAUGAUGCAGAACUGUUGGUGAAGGCUGUAGAAAACCUUGCUGUGAAGUAUACAUCACUUUCUUUAAAUUCUGAGCCUUCUUCUCAGCAUGAUUCUGCUGCUGAAGAUAAUAAAGAUGGGGAGCAAGGCGAAAAAGUGUCUGGAAUUACUAAUGUGCCUGUUCAAGAUCGAAGCGUUAAUAAUUUGGUCAAACAUAGUUCAUCUGGAUUUGAUGCUUCAAUUGACUCCAGUAGCCAGUGUGACAGUUUGGAAGGCAACCAGGGCUCUGUGUCAGGUAUAUUUACACUGUUGUUUGUAAUGGAAAAUAUUUUCAGUUUUUUCACUUUAUUCAAACAUUAUCUGUUCGGGAUAUUGCAUUAUGAUAGGCUGGUCAAUGCAUUAUUGCAUUAUGAUAGGCUGGUCAAUGCCAGCUAAUGUGGUUGGACCAUGUGAAAGAAAAGUUUUCUAUAGACCAAACUGCUAUAAUGAAAAAUUGUUCCUUUUUUCACACCUUUCUUCUUCUUGCUAUGUUAUCAAUUAGAGAUUCGUGAUUCAGACACAUUAACCAUGUCCCAAACUGCUUUUUCAUUUCCAUAAUCUACCUUCUCAGCUAUAAGCCUAUUUGGAAUUGGAUCCCAGAUGUUAAGUGUAUUAUUCAUGAAAAUCUUUCUUUUACAUCAAAUGUCGGAGGCUGUAGUUCAUACUAUUGGGUGAAUUGGUACGUGUUACUGAAAAUUGUAUUCCUAUUCCAUGGCUGAUAAGAAUGGGUUAGAUCUUUUAUGUAUACACUCCUAAGCACCAAAGAGACACAUACAUGCACAUUUAUACAUUAAUAUAGACUCAUGCUAGCUACUAGUACUAUACCUGUGUGCAUCUCUGAAUGUUGCUUAGUGAAAAUUUUGAAUUAAAUUUAGUCAUUGUUCAUGGCUUUUGUAUACUUGCAAAGAUACAUGCCCAUAUCUUUUGUAUAGCAGACAAUAAUUUUAUGGGUAUUGGCUCAACAACACAAAUCCAAAAUUCGUCGAUUUCCCCAAAUGUGUGUUGUUUGCAGCCUCACCCACUUCUCAUUUUCUCUCAUGAUCUCUAUGUUUUUUCUUUUUUAUUUAGCUGACAGCUAGAUUCGUACAAUUCAUGUCGUACCAUCUAGCAUCACUCAUAUUUUACAUGUUUUCCAUCCAUAUUCAAUACCUAUUGGUUUGGUGUGACCCCAUUGAGCGAAAAUGUAUUUGAUUUACCUGUUCAAUAUUCGUUAAACAGUUAUCUCAUUGAAAUCCGAUGCUCCAGCUGUUAUCGAUAAUGAAACUUUACCAUUAACUGGUUCGCUGGCAUCAACAGAGGCAGGGAAAUCCAAUGUGAAUAAGCCCGAAGAAUCAUUUCACAAACAGCAGACUGGGAUACCAGAAAUGUCUAAAUCACCAUCUUUCAUGACACUGGUUGAACCUGUACACGUGUUUAACCCUAAAGCUGCUGCCUGUGAAGUCGAGAAAGGAUCAAACCCACAACAGUCGGAUUCCACUUCACAGACUGGUUCCAUUUUAACACAGGUUAUUAAUAAGUCUCCAGGGAGAAAGAAAAAUGAAGAAAUAAUAGCAAAGGUAACAAACCCGGGCACCCGUAAGGUGCGUACACCUCUAAAGAGCCUCUUGGAUGAGGCUACCGAUAGCGACAAGGCAAAGUCUUCAACAUUUGGAGUACAUGCAUCGAAUCAGGAAAAUGGUAAAUUUCCAGAACAUAGUAGUUCCAAGUUGAAGACUGUGAACUCCAUUCUAGGCACAGAAUCGCCUGCAGCUCAAGCCGUGAAAGGAGAAACCACAAAAGAGUGGAACUCACCGGCAAGAUAUCCUGCAGGCACCAAGGAAGAAAAAGGGAAACUCACCAGCAGAUCAUUCUGGAUACAACUGGUAUGUUGCUCAUCAGAGGAUCGUCAGCCUUCGAGAAGAUAAAACAUUCC